AAUUACCUUUAAAAAAAGGGAUAAAUAAUAGUUGGAGAAUUAUGUAACUUACAAUUUCAUCAUAGACCUUUAAGGUUUUUUAAUGGCCACCAUGAGAUUCACAUUCAUUCACUUUAUAUAUAACUUUUGAAAGAUGUGGGAGUUUCACUAGUAUAGUCCACAUAUUUUUGUGAUUGUGACAAAGCAUUUUUUCUAACAACAUUGAAAGUAUUACAAGUGAGUAGACACACAGGACUGGAGAAAACUGGAUAUUACACUGUAGGAUUGAUAAUAAAUUGAUCUUUGUGGCAGGUUGCAAUUUACCCGGUGUUUUCAUGGAUCAUUUAUUUUUCUCAGGAACACUUUGUGGGCAUUUUCCUCAUUUCCUUUAUACAUACGAGAAAAUGAAGCUGUGAGAGCCAUCAAACGUGGCAGGACCAGCUUUGAAACCUAAAUGAUAUUGUGUCUCUGCACUUACACUCCAUACGGUCAAGUAUUGGGCUCUGUUUUUUACGUUAGAAAAAUUAGUAUUUGGAGUUCAAAAUGCAUUUUAAGAAUACAGAAAAUAACAGAAAGAGGAAGAAUGUUAAAAAACAUUUUUUCUAAAUGCAGUAAAUAAAGCAUGCAUCAACAAAUGAAAUAUCUUCCCCCCUUUUAUAAAAAAUAUUUCAUUUCAUAGCAUGUUAGCAUACAAUUGUAUUUUUCCAUUUUUAGUAAUUAACAGAAAUGAACAUGACUUGAUAAAUUUAUUUUCAUGAAGUACCUGCGUCCUCAGAUUUUCCAAACAGACGUUGAAGAUCUCUCGCAAUUUUCUCUUUCCCAGUAAUUUUCUCCGACUACUUGCAGUGUAUUUGGGAUCAUGACACCUUUCCUUUCUAGGAGGGGAAGUGAUUUUGGCGGUUAUAUUUUCUCGUCUACCUGCAGAGACUAUUCAUCACAGCGAGUGAAGUGAUCUGCAGUGCUGGUACAAACAGAGUAGAGAAAGCAUAUAAUUUCCAGUUAUUCAUAGCCUGCGCAGCUAUGCUUCCUUAUUUAUAGCAAAGGUACACAUCUGAUUUAAAGGAUUCACGGUCAUCUGGAGGUCAAAUGCAGAUGGCAGGAUGUAGUCGGAGGAAAAGAGCCCAAAAAGAAGUGAGUUGUGGCACAGACAAUAAAUAAACCCAAGUCUCUCAACCUUGACACUGUUGACAUUUGGGGCUAGAUAAUUCAUUCUUGCGGAUGCUGUCCUGUGCAUGGAGGACGUUUAGCAGUAUCCCCACCCUCUACCCGCUGGCUGCCAGUAACGGCACCCCAACUGUGUGAACUGAAACUGUCUCCAGACUUUGCCAGAUUGCACCCUGAAGCAGGGACGGGCAAAGUCAGCCCCAGUUGAGAGCCCCUGAUCUAGACUAACGGUGAGCCCACAGCUGACGGAAAGAUACAACCAGACUGGUGCAAACAGUCACACUUUGCACGAACUCUGAGGGCAUGUUGCUGCGUUGCCGGUCAGAAGCCUCCGAUUCUCGGUUGACGUUUGUGAAAAUUGAAUCCGUUAGACCCGCAUCCCUGCUCUCCGUAUGUACAAGUUGGGGUAGAAGUCGCUGUUGCUGCCCUGACUGUAGUCUUAGUUAGAGGUCUCAGUUUUUCUACUCUGACGCGAGUGCUGCUAGGGAGGCAGAGAACAGGCCAGCGAACCCCUGCCCCACCCCCUCCUCCUCUGUGUGUUUCAUCUUCGUUUCACAGAAUCCCAGCAUAUGCUAGAGAACAGCCAUCUGUCAUGAUGCCGCACAGCCUUGCCACACAGAUGACUUGGCAUCUAGGAUGCUCUUCGGGAUCGUGGUUAUGGCCUUAGGGUCUGUGCAAAGGCUGGAUCUGGCCUCAUGCAGGAUCCAGAAAGGAAAAACAUUAUUUUUGUCCUCACAUCAAAAUGGCCAAGAUACCAUAGAAUAGAUUAAUACACUGCCAGAGUGUAUAAAAAUAACAAGGACAAGGGUGCCUGGGUGGCUCCCUCUGCUGAGCAUCUGACUCUUGGUUUUAGCGCAGGUCAUGAUCUCACGGUUCAUGAGUUUGAGCCCCGCUUCAAGCUCUGCACUGACAGUGCAGAGCCCGUUUGGGAUUCUGUCUCCCUCUCUCUCUGCCCCUUCCCUGCUCACACACGCAUGUUCUCCCUAAAUAAAUAAAUGGGAUUCUCUCUCCCUCUCUCUCUCUGCCCUUCCCUGCUCACACACGCAUGUUCUCCCUAAAUAAAUAAAUGGGAUUCUCUCUCCCUCUCUCUCUCUGCCCUUCCCUGCUCACACACGCAUGUUCUCCCUAAAUAAAUAAAUGGGAUUCUCUCUCCCUCUCUCUCUCUGCCCCUUCCCUGCUCACACACGCAUGUUCUCCCUAAAUAAAUAAAUGGGAUUCUCUCUCCCUCUCUCUCUCUGCCCCUUCCCUGCUCACACACGCAUGUUCUCCCUAAAUAAAUAAAUGGGGUUCUCUCUCCCUCUCUCUCUCUGCCCCUUCCCUGCUCACACACGCAUGUUCUCCCUAAAUAAA
Acinonyx jubatus (cheetah) is the source of this 2493-nucleotide long non-coding RNA. RefSeq lists it as uncharacterized. NCBI's taxonomy places the organism in Eukaryota, Metazoa, Chordata, Mammalia, Carnivora, Felidae. The record is from RefSeq and is a predicted model, not a curated record. The transcript has 2 exons.